UCAACCCGCCUACCUAUUGUCAGCCCUACUCUUUAUCACAAACACUCUGUCGACGCUCACUCUCUCUUGCAAGUCCUCAAUCGUCACUCCUCCCUCCCUGAUUCAGCAUCCGUCUCUCCCUCUCUGAAGCCAUCGCACCGCCAUGGUUUAGCAUAUUUCUUUACAAUGUUAUUUAAUUAUGUUCUCUUAUUUCUUUACUUGGUAGGUUGAUGUAUGUGGAUAUAGUCGCUUGACUAUGAUUAUGGAAAGCAUGGACGUCACAAGAUUCAGGGUAUUAGGGCAGGUUUUGUGCCUAGAUAUUUGAACCCAGAUAUACUUGAUGAAGUUAUAGAGGUCUGUUGUUUUGCUUUUCCAUCUUCUUUCUCCUCUCUUCCUUCCUUUUUUUUGUAUAAAAAAUAUAAUAAAAAUAAAAAAUUUUUGAACAAGAAUUUGAUUG
This is a long non-coding RNA of Arachis ipaensis, 436 nucleotides long. RefSeq lists it as uncharacterized. NCBI's taxonomy places the organism in Eukaryota, Viridiplantae, Streptophyta, Magnoliopsida, Fabales, Fabaceae. The record is from RefSeq and is a predicted model, not a curated record.